This 301-nucleotide ribosomal RNA is filed under the name uncultured bacterium. RNAcentral's name for it is "partial 16S ribosomal RNA". It matches the Rfam family "Bacterial small subunit ribosomal RNA", at positions 512 to 809 of the family's 1533-position model. The record is from RNAcentral.
CAGCAGCCGGUAAUACAGAGGGUGCAAGCGUUAAUCGGAAUUACUGGGCGUAAAGCGCGCGUAGGUGGUUUGUUAAGUUGGAUGUGAAAUCCCCGGGCUCAACCUGGGAACUGCAUCCAAAACUGGCAGGCUAGAGUAGGGCAGAGGGUGGCGGAAUUUCCUGUGUAGCGGUGAAAUGCGUAGAUAUAGGAAGGAACACCGGUGGCGAAGGCGGCGACCUGGUCCUUGACUGACGCUGAGGCGCGAAAGCGUGGGGAGCAAACAGGAUUAGAUACCCGUGUAGUCCCUGUCUCUUAUACAC